Molecule: long non-coding RNA, 1602 nt
Organism: Ailuropoda melanoleuca (giant panda)
Lineage: Eukaryota; Metazoa; Chordata; Mammalia; Carnivora; Ursidae
Source: Ensembl
AUGUCCGUCUGCAUCCGGCCUCUUCAUUUAGAUGCUGUGCGCUGCCCCGGAGAGCCGGGCUGGGUGCAGCUGAGCUGCGGCCGGCCGAGCCCAGCGCGGAGACUCUGCCCUGCUCCUGCUCCCGCUGCCACUGCCGCUCCCCCCCUCCUCCUCUCCCGGCUCCUCGCGCCCUCCCCACCCCAAGGGCUCCCACUCCGUUUGCUGCAUUCCCGGAGCAGCUGGCGAGCCUGCCCCUGCCAGGCGGAGCGGGCAGUGCCGGGCCACCGGCAGCAGCCGCCAAAGGUAGGUCUCCCCCGCGGGCUGGUGCCGCGGCCGGCCGGCAACUUCUCCGCAGCGGGGGCACUGCGGGCCCUCCCCCAGCGGCCACCCAUCUGCCCAACUCCUGUCGCCGGGGUCCGGGCGCUCCGCCCUCCCUCCGCCCUCCCUCCUCCCCGGCCGCCCGGCGCCUCUGCGGCCGCCUGCACUUUCCUCCCUCGGGACAGAGCGGCCCUUUGUGCGGGCGCCGCUGUGCGGAGUUGGGCCGGCGCCUUCUCCACCCGACCGUCCCCAGCCCCCCCUCUGCGAAUCGGGCAUCAGAUCAACCUCGCUGGAGCCCCGUCCCCAGCCCCUAGGGUGCCUGGCAGCGGAGGCAGCAGCAUCCCAAGCCCUUGCCGGUCCCUCUCCCCGUCUCCCCCGACCCCUUUAGUCACCUGGGCUGGGACUGAGCCAGCAGGGAUUGGCCAGCGUGGGGAGCUGGGGGACUGGGAGGGCGGGCAGGUGGGGCUGCGCCAGGCUCCCCACGGCUGGUCCAGCUGGGUCCCUGACGGUGCUGGUGGCCUGGGGAGCCGGUCCCCGGGGAGGGGCAGCGGUGGCGGGGCGCCUGACUUCUUCCACCUUUGGCUCACUCGGCUCACUCCCCUGGGCACCCCCACCCCUGGCCUUCCUGCAGGGGGACGAGGGGCCGGCUUCUCAGCCAGUGGGGUGGGACUCCCCCCUUGUGGGCCCUCUGUGCGGCUGCUCCGAGGGGUAAGAAAAACAAACCAGAAACCAAAAAACCCCCUUGCAAGACCCGCUCGCGCUGGGUUCCGGCCCCCACCCAGGGGAAGGGCCGUGAGGGGCUCCUUUGCUGCUAACUUUUUCUUGGGGAGAAGAGUUUGCAGACGCGGCCCGCCACCCUCACCCCUCCCGGCCGCCACCACCCUCACCCCUCCAAGCUGCCGCGGGUGGGGUGCCCUGUUCCGUGUUCUGUCCUCUGUCCUCCCCGUCCUCUCCGUCCUCCUGGAGUGCAGGCCUCCGUUUCUGUUCCUGUCUUCUGCUGAGACGGGGCGCUCCUGCCCGAGGGCUCAAGCGCUCUCCUGGGGGUGGGCUCUGGGAGCCGCACAAGGUGUGGGGGGCAUCCCCUUGGCUGGAAUGCGGCUGUGCGAGUCCCAUGCAGUGUGGGCUGCAGGCCCAGCCGGGGCCCCCCCUGGGCCCCCUUUGCUGGAGGGAGCCCUGCUGGAGGGCUGGGGAGGGGGCCCCAUGGAGGGCGCUGCGUUGAGGAGGGGUGGAGGGGGGCCGGGCGUGCUGGGGCGGAGCGCGUUUCCAUCCGCUUGGUGGGUGGGCGCUGGCCGUCCAGGAGCCUGA